RNAcentral lists this ribosomal RNA (253 nucleotides) under uncultured bacterium. Its description in RNAcentral is "partial 16S ribosomal RNA". It matches the Rfam family "Bacterial small subunit ribosomal RNA", at positions 524 to 776 of the family's 1533-position model. The record is from RNAcentral.
GACAGAGGGGGCAAGCGUUGUUCGGAAUCACUGGGCGUAAAGGGCGCGUAGGCGGGAUGGCAAGUCAGUCGUGAAAUCUCUCGGCUCAACCGAGAAACGUCGGCUGAUACUGCCGUUCUUGAGGGAUGCAGAGGAGACUGGAAUUCCCGGUGUAGCGGUGAAAUGUGUAGAGAUCGGGAGGAACACCGGUGGCGAAGGCGGGUCUCUGGGCAUCUCCUGACGCUGAGGCGCGAAAGCGUGGGGAGCAAACGGG